AUGAGCUCCUUCUUGUCAGCACCGCGGGACGCGGACGUCGUCCGGCAGCGGCAGGGCAACAAGAAGGCGGACGCCCCGGCGCUCGACCUGCUCGACGACUACUGGUUCUUCAGCAACUCCCUCGGCGGCAGCAGCAGGGACGACGCCGCCAGGGGGAGGAGCAGGCCGCCGCUGCUGCCCAAGUCGCCGUCCACGUCCUCGGCCGGUGCGGGUGCGUCCGGGCGGACGGCCAGGGCGAACGCGUCCGGGUCCAGGAGGCUCCUCCGGACGCCGUCGCUCCCGGCGCCUCGCAUCGGGAUGGACCCCUCGUCGCCCAAGGACAACGAGCUGAUAGUGGAGGAGGACGCUGGCUGUGGCGGCGAUCAGCAGGAGGCCGAGGUGGAGGACGACGACAUGAACUGGAGCAAGAUUUACGAGGGCGUCCUGCGCACCAGGAUCGCCGAGGAAGGCCGCGGGUCGUCGGCGCUCAACCGGGCGCCGUCCAUGCCGGUCACGUCGUCCGCGACCAUGGGUGACGGCCACGGCCGCCGACCCGCCGGGGUCACCGAGUCAACGCCGAGCAUGCCCAGGCUCAGGCACUCCCACAGCACGCUCGAGAGGCACUACCGCUCGAGCACGCCCACCAAGCCUGACCGGACGCCGAGGAUGACAGGCGGCGGCAGCAGAGCGGAGCGUGGCCCGCCGCGGCGCGACCUCCGAUCGUUCAGCGCGAACCAGCAGCCGGCCCUCGUCCGGGACAAGAGCGGCUUGCAGGACAAGAUGUGGAAGAGCUCGAGCGCGCUGGAGUCGAUCGAGGUGCAGGGGUUCAAGGACCUGGGUUUCGUGUUCGACCAGGAGGAGCUCAGAGAGAGUCUGGCGGACGUCCUCCCGGGCCUCCGCGACGACAAGGCCAACAAGCCCCACAAGAGCUCCGGCUCCGUCUCCGGGUCCGGCAGCACCAGCGACAACGACGACUCGAGCGCGAACGCCAACGGCAUCGGCAUCGGCACCAGCAACGCCGCGUGCAAUGACGGCGGCGACGGGAUCGUGCGGCGGCCGUACCUGUCGGAGGCGUGGCAGCACGGGGCGCGGUCGGCGCCCCCCACGGCGGCGGCGGCGAUAAGGCUGCAGCAGGCGGACGCGAGGUCCGCGGCGGAGAUGAAGGACCAGAUUCGCAUGUGGGCGCAGGCCGUCGCGUGCAACGUCCGACAAGAGUGUUAA
Molecule: ribosomal RNA, 1200 nt
Filed under: Triticum aestivum (bread wheat)
Lineage: Eukaryota; Viridiplantae; Streptophyta; Magnoliopsida; Poales; Poaceae
Description: partial small subunit ribosomal RNA
Source: RNAcentral